GAUGAACGCUGGCGGCGUGCCUAAUACAUGCAAGUCGAGCGCAAAGAUCAGGAGCUUGCUCCUGUGAUUUGAGCGGCGGACGGGUGAGUAACACGUAGGCAACCUACCCUUGAGAUUGGGAUAACUACCGGAAACGGUAGCUAAUACCGGAUACGACCUUUCCACACAAGUGGAAUUGUUAAAAGGCGGAUUUAUCUGCCGCUCAUGGAUGGGCCUGCGGUGCAUUAGCUAGUUGGUGAGAUAGUAGCUCACCAAGGCGACGAUGCAUAGCCGACCUGAGAGGGUGAUCGGCCACACUGGGACUGAGACACGGCCCAG
Molecule: ribosomal RNA, 318 nt
Filed under: uncultured bacterium
Lineage: Bacteria
Description: bacterial SSU rRNA
Rfam family: Bacterial small subunit ribosomal RNA
Source: RNAcentral